GACGAACGCUGGCGGCGUGCUUAACACAUGCAAGUCGAACGGAAAGGCCCUGCUUUUGUGGGGUGCUCGAGUGGCGAACGGGUGAGUAACACGUGAGUAACCUGCCCUUGACUUUGGGAUAACUUCAGGAAACUGGGGCUAAUACCGGAUAGGAGCUCCUGCUGCAUGGUGGGGGUUGGAAAGUUUCGGCGGUUGGGGAUGGACUCGCGGCUUAUCAGCUUGUUGGUGGGGUAGUGGCUUACCAAGGCUUUGACGGGUAGCCGGCCUGAGAGGGUGACCGGCCACAUUGGGACUGAGAUACGGCCCAGACUUCUACGGGAGGCAGCAGUGGGGAAUAUUGCACAAUGGGCGGAAGCCUGAUGCAGCAACGCCGCGUGCGGGAUGACGGCCUUCGGGUUGUAAACCGCUUUCGCCUGUGACGAAGCGUGAGUGACGGUAAUGGGUAAAGAAGCACCGGCUAACUACG
RNAcentral lists this ribosomal RNA (466 nucleotides) under uncultured bacterium. RNAcentral's name for it is "partial 16S ribosomal RNA". It matches the Rfam family "Bacterial small subunit ribosomal RNA", at positions 28 to 505 of the family's 1533-position model. The record is from RNAcentral.